Molecule: transfer RNA, 72 nt
Filed under: Camelus bactrianus (Bactrian camel)
Lineage: Eukaryota; Metazoa; Chordata; Mammalia; Artiodactyla; Camelidae
Also listed under: 2 other names
Rfam family: tRNA
About the family: Transfer RNA (tRNA) molecules are approximately 80 nucleotides in length. Their secondary structure includes four short double-helical elements and three loops (D, anti-codon, and T loops).
Source: Rfam by way of RNAcentral
GAGAGUAUAGCUUAAUGGUGGAAUGUGUGCUUAACAUGCACUAGGUCCUAGGUUUAAUCCCUGGUACUUCCA